This 484-nucleotide ribosomal RNA is filed under the name uncultured bacterium. RNAcentral's name for it is "partial 16S ribosomal RNA". It matches the Rfam family "Bacterial small subunit ribosomal RNA", at positions 30 to 507 of the family's 1533-position model. The record is from RNAcentral.
AUUGAACGCUGGCGGCAGGCCUAACACAUGCAAGUCGAGCGGUAGAGAGAAGCUUGCUUCUCUUGAGAGCGGCGGACGGGUGAGUAAUGCCUAGGAAUCUGCCUGGUAGUGGGGGAUAACGUUCGGAAACGGACGCUAAUACCGCAUACGUCCUACGGGAGAAAGCAGGGGACCUUCGGGCCUUGCGCUAUCAGAUGAGCCUAGGUCGGAUUAGCUAGUUGGUGGGGUAAUGGCUCACCAAGGCGACGAUCCGUAACUGGUCUGAGAGGAUGAUCAGUCACACUGGAACUGAGACACGGUCCAGACUCCUACGGGAGGCAGCAGUGGGAAAUAUUGGACAAUGGGCGAAAGCCUGAUCCAGCCAUGCCGCGUGUGUGAAGAAGGUCUUCGGAUUGUAAAGCACUUUAAGUUGGGAGGAAGGGCAGUAAAUUAAUACUUUGCUGUUUUGACGUUACCGACAGAAUAAGCACCGGCUAACUCUGUG